AGACAGAGGUGGCAAGCGUUGUUCGGAUUUACUGGGCGUAAAGAGCAUGUAGGCGGUUGGAUUAGUCAGUUGUGAAAUCCUAUGGCUUAACCAUAGAAUUGCAUCUGAUACUGUCUAGCUAGAGUGCAGAAGAGGAGAGUGGAAUUUCCAGUGUAGCGGUGAAAUGCGUAGAUAUUGGAAGGAACACCGGUGGCGAAGGCGGCUCUCUGGUCUGUAACUGACGCUGAGAUGCGAAAGCGUGGGUAGCAAACAGGAUUAGAAACCCCUGUAGUCC
RNAcentral lists this ribosomal RNA (274 nucleotides) under uncultured bacterium. RNAcentral describes it as "partial 16S ribosomal RNA". It matches the Rfam family "Bacterial small subunit ribosomal RNA", at positions 523 to 796 of the family's 1533-position model. The record is from RNAcentral.